Molecule: ribosomal RNA, 221 nt
Filed under: uncultured bacterium
Lineage: Bacteria
Description: partial 16S ribosomal RNA
Rfam family: Bacterial small subunit ribosomal RNA
Source: RNAcentral
UACAGAGGGGCAAGCGUUGUUCGGAAUUACUGGGCGUAAAGGCGCGUAGGUGGCCUUCUAAGUUGAACGUGAAAUCCCUGGCUCAACCCAGGAACUGCGUCCAAGACUGGGAGGCUUGAAUCCGGGAGAGGGAUGCGGAAUUCCAGGUGUAGCGGUGAAAUGCGUAGAUAUCUGGAGGAACACCGGUGGCGAAGGCGGCAUCCUGGACCGGUAUGACACUG